Non-coding RNA from Zootoca vivipara (common lizard), 340 nucleotides. NCBI's taxonomy places the organism in Eukaryota, Metazoa, Chordata, Lepidosauria, Squamata, Lacertidae. The record is from RefSeq and is a predicted model, not a curated record.
GCACGUGCGCUCCACACGAGCUGUAGCGCUGCGAAGGGAGCUGUGAGAAGGCAGCGCGUGGAGAGAGACGACUAGAGCUUUCCACAUAUUGGACUUCAACCACCACUUACCCUUCAGGGAUGAAGGCAAUUGGAGUUCAACACCAAGACAACGCCAAGUGGUGGAAUGUGCCGACUAGAGCUUUCCACAUAUUGGACUUCAACCACCACUUACCCUUCAGGGAUGAAGGCAAUUGGAGUUCAACACCAAGACAACGCCAAGUGGUGGAAUGUGCCGGUAAGUGUGGUAGUUCUGUCAGCUUUAGAUUUUAAGAAAUCUGGUUCUUGACUGUGGUCAGUGG